GCCUUGACACUAGGAGUCGAUGAAGGACGGGACUAACGCCGAUAUGCUUCGGGGAGCUGUAAGUAAGCUUUGAUCCGAAGAUUUCCGAAUGGGGAAACCCACCAUACGUAAUGGUAUGGUAUCCUUAUCUGAAUACAUAGGGUAAGGAAGACAGACCCAGGGAACUGAAACAUCUAAGUACCUGGAGGAAGAGAAAGCAAAUGCGAUUUCCUGAGUAGCGGCGAGCGAAACGGAACAUAGCCCAAACCAAGAGGCUUGCCUCUUGGGGUUGUAGGACAUUCUAUACGGAGUUACAAAGGAACGAGGUAGACGAAGCGACCUGGAAAGGUCCGUCGUAGAGGGUAACAACCCCGUAGUCGAAACUUCGUUCUCUCUUGAAUGUAUCCUGAGUACGGCGGAACACGUGAAAUUCCGUCGGAAUCUGGGAGGACCAUCUCCCAAGGCUAAAUACUCCCUAGUGAUCGAUAGUGAACCAGUACCGUGAGGGAAAGGUGAAAAGCACCCCGGAAGGGGAGUGAAAGAGAUCCUGAAACCGUGUGCCUACAAAUAGUCAGAGCCCGUUAAUGGGUGAUGGCGUGCCUUUUGUAGAAUGAACCGGCGAGUUACGAUCCCGUGCGAGGUUAAGCUGAAGAGGCGGAGCCGCAGCGAAAGCGAGUCUGAAUAGGGCGUUUAGUACGUGGUCGUAGACCCGAAACCAGGUGAUCUACCCAUGUCCAGGGUGAAGUUCAGGUAACACUGAAUGGAGGCCCGAACCCACGCACGUUGAAAAGUGCGGGGAUGAGGUGUGGGUAGCGGAGAAAUUCCAAUCGAACCUGGAGAUAGCUGGUUCUCCCCGAAAUAGCUUUAGGGCUAGCCUUAAGUGUAAGAGUCUUGGAGGUAGAGCACUGAUUGGACUAGGGGUCCUCAUCGGAUUACCGAAUUCAGUCAAACUCCGAAUGCCAAUGACUUAUCCUUAGGAGUCAGACUGCGAGUGAUAAGAUCCGUAGUCAAAAGGGAAACAGCCCAGACCGCCAGCUAAGGUCCCAAAGUGUGUAUUAAGUGGAAAAGGAUGUGGAGUUGCUUAGACAACUAGGAUGUUGGCUUAGAAGCAGCCACCAUUUAAAGAGUGCGUAAUAGCUCACUAGUCGAGUGACUCUGCGCCGAAAAUGUACCGGGGCUAAAUACACCACCGAAGCUGCGGAUUGAUACCAAUGGUAUCAGUGGUAGGGGAGCGUUCUAAGGACAGUGAAGUCAGACCGUAAGGACUGGUGGAGUGCUUAGAAGUGAGAAUGCCGGUAUGAGUAGCGAAAGACGGGUGAGAAUCCCGUCCACCGAAUGCCUAAGGUUUCCUGAGGAAGGCUCGUCCGCUCAGGGUUAGUCAGGACCUAAGCCGAGGCCGACAGGCGUAGGCGAUGGACAACAGGUUGAUAUUCCUGUACCACCUCUUUAUCGUUUGAGCAAUGGAGGGACGCAGAAGGAUAGAAGAAGCGUGCGAUUGGUUGUGCACGUCCAAGCAGUUAGGCUGAUAAGUAGGCAAAUCCGCUUAUCAUGAAGGCUGAGCUGUGAUGGGGAAGCUCCUUAUGGAGCGAAGUCUUUGAUUCCCCGCUGCCAAGAAAAGCUUCUAGCGAGAUAAAAGGUGCCUGUACCGCAAACCGACACAGGUAGGCGAGGAGAGAAUCCUAAGGUGUGCGAGAGAACUCUGGUUAAGGAACUCGGCAAAAUGACCCCGUAACUUCGGGAGAAGGGGUGCUUUCUUAACGGAAAGCCGCAGUGAAUAGGCCCAAGCGACUGUUUAGCAAAAACACAGCUCUCUGCGAAGCCGUAAGGCGAAGUAUAGGGGGUGACACCUGCCCGGUGCUGGAAGGUUAAGGAGAGGGGUUAGCGUAAGCGAAGCUCUGAACUGAAGCCCCAGUAAACGGCGGCCGUAACUAUAACGGUCCUAAGGUAGCGAAAUUCCUUGUCGGGUAAGUUCCGACCCGCACGAAAGGUGUAACGAUUUGGGCACUGUCUCAACCAGAGACUCGGUGAAAUUAUAGUACCUGUGAAGAUGCAGGUUACCCGCGACAGGACGGAAAGACCCCGUGGAGCUUUACUGUAGCCUGAUAUUGAAUUUUGGUACAUUUUGUACAGGAUAGGCGGGAGCCUUUGAAACCGGAGCGCUAGCUUCGGUGGAGGCGCUGGUGGGAUACCGCCCUGAAUGUAUUGAAAUUCUAACCUACGGGUCUUAUCGACCCGGGAGACAGUGUCAGGUGGGCAGUUUGACUGGGGCGGUCGCCUCCUAAAGUGUAACGGAGGCGCCCAAAGGUUCCCUCAGAAUGGUUGGAAAUCAUUCGUAGAGUGCAAAGGCAUAAGGGAGCUUGACUGCGAGACCUACAAGUCGAGCAGGGACGAAAGUCGGGCUUAGUGAUCCGGUGGUUCCGCAUGGAAGGGCCAUCGCUCAACGGAUAAAAGCUACCCCGGGGAUAACAGGCUUAUCUCCCCCAAGAGUCCACAUCGACGGGGAGGUUUGGCACCUCGAUGUCGGCUCAUCGCAUCCUGGGGCUGUAGUCGGUCCCAAGGGUUGGGCUGUUCGCCCAUUAAAGCGGUACGCGAGCUGGGUUCAGAACGUCGUGAGACAGUUCGGUCCCUAUCCGUCGUGGGCGUAGGAAAUUUGAGAGGAGCUGUCCUUAGUACGAGAGGACCGGGAUGGACGCACCGCUGGUGUACCAGUUGUUCUGCCAAGGGCAUAGCUGGGUAGCUAUGUGCGGAAGGGAUAAGUGCUGAAAGCAUCUAAGCAUGAAGCCCCCCUCAAGAUGAGAUUUCCCAUAGCGUAAGCUAGUAAGAUCCCUGAAAGAUGAUCAGGUUGAUAGGUUCGAGGUGGAAGCAUGGUGACAUGUGGAGCUGACGAAUACUAAUAGAUCGAGGACUUAACCAU
RNAcentral lists this ribosomal RNA (2893 nucleotides) under Bacillus cereus. RNAcentral describes it as "bacterial LSU rRNA". It matches the Rfam family "Bacterial large subunit ribosomal RNA". Lineage: Bacteria; Bacillati; Bacillota; Bacilli; Caryophanales; Bacillaceae. The record is from RNAcentral.